Molecule: ribosomal RNA, 448 nt
Filed under: uncultured bacterium
Lineage: Bacteria
Description: SSU rRNA
Rfam family: Bacterial small subunit ribosomal RNA
Source: RNAcentral
AGAACGAACGCUGGCGGCAGGCUUAACACAUGCAAGUCGAACGCUCGUAGCAAUACGGGAGUGGCAGACGGGUGAGUAACACGUGGGAACAUACCCUUUGGUACGGAACAACUCGGGGAAACUCGAGCUAAUACCGUAUACGGCCGAGAGGCGAAAGAUUGAUCGCCGAAGGAUUGGCCCGCGUCCGAUUAGCUAGUUGGUGAGGUAAUGGCUCACCAAGGCGACGAUCGGUAGCUGGUCUGAGAGGAUGGCCAGCCACAUUGGGACUGAGACACGGCCCAAACUCCUACGGGAGGCAGCAGUGGGGAAUAUUGGACAAUGGGCGCAAGCCUGAUCCAGCCAUGCCGCGUGAGUGAUGAAGGCCUUAGGGUUGUAAAGCUCUUUCGUCAGGGACGAUAAGUGACGGUACCUGAAGAAGAAGCCCGGCUAACUUCGUGCCAGCAGCCGC